Phacochoerus africanus (Common warthog) is the source of this 414-nucleotide long non-coding RNA. RefSeq lists it as uncharacterized. The record is from RefSeq and is a predicted model, not a curated record. The transcript is spliced from 3 exons. NCBI's taxonomy places the organism in Eukaryota, Metazoa, Chordata, Mammalia, Artiodactyla, Suidae.
UGCCAAGUCACAGGAACGUGAUGAGAAACAGAAGCCCCGCUGCACUGAGCACCAACCUACCGGCAGGCUGCUCCUCCUCGUGCCUCCAAGGUCACAGGCAAGUCACUCUGAACACCGCUCAGCACGACAUGCUUGUCCACAUUGGAAGACUGCAAUCUGCUGAGGAGAUGGAUAUUGAAUACAAUUCCAAAAUUACCAGUGUCUACCUUUUCAGUUCUUUUCAAGGCAGAGGAAGGGACUGAACAGAUUCUCACACUCAUGCUUGGAAUCAGGGACAAUGGCAUAAGAGACAGUGAAGAUGUCAGUGAUACUAAGAAGGAGCAGAAGAAACAGAGUUCUGGGAUUGGAAAUGGGAAAUGUAGUAUCAGCUUUACCAUCAAAUGACUAUAUCUUCUUAGGCAAAUCAACAUAUAA